Molecule: ribosomal RNA, 207 nt
Filed under: uncultured bacterium
Lineage: Bacteria
Description: partial 16S ribosomal RNA
Rfam family: Bacterial small subunit ribosomal RNA
Source: RNAcentral
CUUGUAGGUGGUUUGUCGCGUUGUUCGUGAAAUGCCACAGCUUAACUGUGGGCGUGCGGGCGAUACGGGCAGACUGGAGUACUGCAGGGGAGACUGGAAUUCCUGGUGUAGCGGUGGAAUGCGCAGAUAUCAGGAGGAACACCGGUGGCGAAGGCGGGUCUCUGGGCAGUAACUGACGCUGAGGAGCGAAAGCGUGGGGAGCGAACA